GACAAGCAUUGGAUGAUACUUCAACCACUGGAUUUUACAUUUUUUCUGUACAAUUUUAGAGUUCAUCAUAUUGAUUAGUUUGUUAUUAAAGAAACUUCUGAUUAAAAACUUUUGAGUGACCAUGCAGAGGAUUUUUAUAUGAACCCCUCUGUCGAUAUCAGCACAACCAACAGUGCUUUAAUCUCUCCUGACUUCAUCUAUUAGGUAUGAUUAUUUUCAUUGUGGAUAAUAUGCGUAGGUCGGUCUAUGCCAAGUGUCAACUCUGUAUUCAUCAUGGAUCAACUAACUUUUGAUGUUUAGGACUUUUCAUGGUAUAUUAUUUGUGGUCGAUUCAGUACUCACUAAUAAAAAGAGCACAGAGUGCAGAAAAGUUGCUGGAGUAGAAAUAAAGCAUAUGAAAUACAAAAUUCUUGAGAAUAAUGAUUUUUAGAAAGCAAAUGGAGAUAUCCAUUAGUGCAGGUUGGAUGAAAUGGAUGUGUGCUUGGGUGGACUGAUCAUUGUAGUCAUCUAAAGUCGAGCGAUUUUGCACAUAGUAGGACUGACGGUGUUAUCUGAAUU
RNAcentral lists this long non-coding RNA (558 nucleotides) under Elaeis guineensis (African oil palm). Its description in RNAcentral is "long non-coding RNA (EGUI_LNC033947)". Lineage: Eukaryota; Viridiplantae; Streptophyta; Magnoliopsida; Arecales; Arecaceae. The record is from RNAcentral.